GGUUAUUAAUAUUGAUGUUUCUGUGUCUGAUCCUCAUGAACAGGACAUCUGACAGCUGGAGACAUGAUGUGUCCACAUAUUUAUGUCCAUAGAGUUUAGAAACACCAAUAUUUCACUAAAGUUUAAUGACAGAUUUUUUUCCUCCGUC
Molecule: long non-coding RNA, 148 nt
Organism: Sphaeramia orbicularis (orbiculate cardinalfish)
Lineage: Eukaryota; Metazoa; Chordata; Actinopteri; Kurtiformes; Apogonidae
Exons: 3
Source: RefSeq, a predicted model, not a curated record